GGGUCAGUAGGUUGGUCGUGCCACCGGUACGUACUGGUCUCACUGAUUCCUCCUUCCUGAAGAACCGUAAUGCCAUUAAUUUGGUGUUGCGGGGAAACAGGACUGUCACUUUGAAAAAAUUAUAGUGUUUAAAGCAAGCUAACGCUUGAAUACAUUAGCAUGGAAUAAUGAAAUAGGACGAUCGAUCCUAUUUUGUUGGUUUCUAGGAUUGACGUA
This 216-nucleotide ribosomal RNA is filed under the name Glomeromycotina sp. RNAcentral's name for it is "partial small subunit ribosomal RNA". The stretch from base 40 to 216 matches the Rfam family "Eukaryotic small subunit ribosomal RNA", at positions 686 to 864 of the family's 1831-position model. Lineage: Eukaryota; Fungi; Glomeromycota. The record is from RNAcentral.